Callithrix jacchus (white-tufted-ear marmoset) is the source of this 296-nucleotide unclassified non-coding RNA. It matches the Rfam family "Metazoan signal recognition particle RNA". Rfam says of the family: The signal recognition particle (SRP) is a universally conserved ribonucleoprotein. The record is from Ensembl. NCBI's taxonomy places the organism in Eukaryota, Metazoa, Chordata, Mammalia, Primates, Cebidae.
ACGGGGUGCAGUGGCUUGUGCCUGUAGUACCAGUUACUCAGGAGGCUGAGGUGGGAGGAUCACUUGAGCCCAGGAGUUCUAGGCUGUAGUGCGCUAUGCUGAUUGGGUGUCCACACUAAGUUCAGCAUCAAUAUGCUGACCUCUCAGGAGCGGGGGACCAGGUUGCCUAAGGAGGGGUGAACUGGCCCAGGUAGGAAACAGAGCAGGUCAAAACUCCCAUGCUGAUCAGUAGUGGCAUCACUCUGUGAAUAGCCAGUGCACUCCAGCCUGGGCAACAUUGCAAGACCCCAUCUCUA